Gavialis gangeticus (Gharial) is the source of this 599-nucleotide long non-coding RNA. RefSeq lists it as uncharacterized. NCBI's taxonomy places the organism in Eukaryota, Metazoa, Chordata, Crocodylia, Gavialidae. The record is from RefSeq and is a predicted model, not a curated record. The transcript is spliced from 3 exons.
CUUGCUUGACACACGCCAAACACAUCAUGGCUUUAACAUGCCUGCUGGUUCCUUUCUGUUCUCACAAUCCUCAUAGGAAAUCUCAAGGGAAAUCUACCAAACAUCUUUCAAAGGAUCCAUUCUGCAAGGAUCUGAAGACAUGGAUCCCCAGGGCCUAACUAGGGAUCACAGAAGGCAAAGUGGGGAGCUCACACUGAACAAACCUCAGCCUUCCUACAGGUUUUUUGUGGUCAAAGGAGCCUAUGCCAGGUGGAUCUUCAGAGCUUGAGCUAAAUACAACUGCUGCUAAUAAACGGGAACUGCCUCAUACAACCUGCCCUGCACAAGAUCUCUGCUGCACUCAACCAACCGAAUGCAAGUAACAUGUUUCUCUUUCCUUGAAUUGGGUAGAUUCCAAUUCUCUGUGCAGUUGCCCCUGUGUAGUCUUUGAAUUACCCCUGCUCUUCCACUCCAGGCCCACCCACGCCUCAAAACUUUGCCUGGUCAUCUUAGCCAGUACUUGGAUCACCCAUCUUCCAGCCAAGCUCCCCCAGGACAGAUCUCCUCAUGCCUUCAGUCUUGCUAUUCCAUUGCUGCCCCCAUCCCCUGCACAGUGCUGC